This 546-nucleotide ribosomal RNA is filed under the name uncultured bacterium. RNAcentral describes it as "bacterial SSU rRNA". It matches the Rfam family "Bacterial small subunit ribosomal RNA", at positions 338 to 902 of the family's 1533-position model. The record is from RNAcentral.
CCUACGGGAGGCAGCAGUGGGGAAUAUUGGACAAUGGGCGGAAGCCUGAUCCAGCCAUGCCGCGUGUGUGAUGACGGCCUUAGGGUUGUAAAGCACUUUCGCCGAUGAAGAUAAUGACUGUAGUCGGAGAAGAAGCCCCGGCUAACUUCGUGCCAGCAGCCGCGGUAAUACGAAGGGGGCUAGCGUUGUUCGGAAUUACUGGGCGUAAAGCGUACGUAGGCGGAUCGUUAAGUUAGGGGUGAAAUCCCGAGGCUCAACCUCGGAACUGCCUCUGAUACUGGCGAUCUUGAGUCCGGGAGAGGUGAGUGGAACUCCUAGUGUAGAGGUGAAAUUCGUAGAUAUUAGGAAGAACACCAGUGGCGAAGGCGGCUCACUGGCCCGGAACUGACGCUGAGGUACGAAAGCGUGGGGAGCAAACAGGAUUAGAUACCCUGGUAGUCCACGCCGUAAACGAUGGAUGCUAGCCGUCGGGGAGCUUGCUCUUCGGUGGCGCAGCUAACGCAUUAAGCAUCCCGCCUGGGGAGUACGGUCGCAAGAUUAAAACUC